AAAUUAUUUUAUUUUGGUUAAUAUUUUUAUUAUUAUUUUAUUUUACAUGUAAAUUUUUGUGAGUAUUAAUUUAAUUUUUAAAAAAUUAUUUUAUUUAUUUAUUCGCAGUGAUUAAUAUUAAUUUAAAAAAGAAAUUUUGUAUUAGUAAUAAUAUAUAGUAUUGGUAAAAUUUGUGCCAGCUACCGCGGUUAUACAAAUAAUACAAAUAAAAAUUUUUAGUAUUAGUUAAAUUGUAUUAAUUUUAAUAUAAAUAUAAAUUUAUUAGGUGAAAUUUUUAAAUUUAUUUAUUAUUAAUUUUGGAUUAAUUUAAGCUAUAAACUUUUUGUAAUAAACUAGGAUUAGAUACCCUAUUAUUAAAAAUAAAUAUAAAUAUACUAAAGUAGUAUUAGUUAUAUUCUUAAAAUUUAAAAAAUUUGGCGGUAUUUUAGUCUGUUCAGAGGAAUCUGUCCUGUAAUUGAUAGUCCACAUUGAACCUUACUUAAAUUUGUUGAAUUUGUAUAUCGUCGUCAUCAGAAUGUGUUAUAAGAUAAAAUUUUCUAAAUAUUUAAUAAAAUAAUAUGUCAGGUCAAGGUGCAGUUUAUGUUUAAGUAGAGAUGGAUUACAAUAAAUUUAUUUAAUAUGGAUAAUUUUUUGAAAUAAAAAUUUGAAAGUGGAUUUGAAAGUAAUAUAAAAUAGAUUAUUUAUAUGAUUUUAGCUCUAAAAUAUGCACAUAUCGCCCAUCGUUCUUAUUUUUAAAAUAAGAUAAGUUGUAACAUAGUAGAUGUACUGGAAAGUGUAUCUAGAAAGAC
RNAcentral lists this non-coding RNA (788 nucleotides) under Culex territans. The record is from RNAcentral. Lineage: Eukaryota; Metazoa; Arthropoda; Insecta; Diptera; Culicidae.